This 61-nucleotide transfer RNA is filed under the name Anaka burmensis. RNAcentral's name for it is "tRNA-Ser". Lineage: Eukaryota; Metazoa; Arthropoda; Insecta; Hemiptera; Cicadellidae. The record is from RNAcentral.
AGUUAUUUAGUUUAAUAAAAAUAUUUACUUUGAAAGUAAAAGAUAGGCUACUUAAUAACUU